UGGGGAAUUUUGGACAAUGGGCGAAAGCCUGAUCCAGCCAUGCCGCGUGAGUGAAGAAGGCCUUCGGGUUGUAAAGCUCUUUUAGUCGGAAAGAAAGAGUUGCAAUGAAUAAUUGUGAUUUAUGACGGUACCGACAGAAAAAGCACCGGCUAACUACGUGCCAGCAGCCGCGGUAAUACGUAGGGUGCGAGCGUUAAUCGGAAUUACUGGGCGUAAAGGGUGCGCAGGCGGUCUUGCAAGUCAGAUGUGAAAGCCCCGGGCUUAACCUGGGAAUUGCGUUGGAAACUACAAGACUAGAGUGCAGCAGAGGGGAGUGGAAUUCCAUGUGUAGCAGUGAAAUGCGUAGAGAUGUGGAAGAACACCGAUGGCGAAGGCAGCUCCCUGGGUUGACACUGACGCUCAUGCACGAAAGCGUGGGGAGCAAACA
RNAcentral lists this ribosomal RNA (427 nucleotides) under uncultured bacterium. RNAcentral describes it as "bacterial SSU rRNA". It matches the Rfam family "Bacterial small subunit ribosomal RNA", at positions 355 to 774 of the family's 1533-position model. The record is from RNAcentral.